CCUACGGGUGGCAGCAGUGGGGAAUAUUGGGCAAUGGGCGCAAGCCUGACCCAGCAACGCCGCGUGAAGGAAGUAGGCCCUCGGGUUGUAAACUUCUUUUAACAGGGACGAAGAACGUGACGGUACCUGUUGAAUAAGCCACGGCUACCUACGUGCCAGCAGCCGCGGUAAUACGUAGGUGGCAAGCGUUAUCCGGAUUUACUGGGUGGAAAGGGCGUGUGGGCGGGAGAGCAAGUCAAACGUGACAUUCCAGGGCUCAACCCUGGAACUGCGUUGGAAACUGUUCGUCUUGAGUGAGGGAGAGGCAGGCGGAAUUCCGUGUGUAGCGGUGAAAUGCGUAGAUAUACGGAGGAACACCAGUGGCGAAGGCGGCCUGCUGGACAGUAACUGACGCUGAGGCGCGAAAGCGUGGGGAGCAAACAGGAUUAGAUACCCGUGUAGUC
Molecule: ribosomal RNA, 443 nt
Filed under: uncultured bacterium
Lineage: Bacteria
Description: partial 16S ribosomal RNA
Rfam family: Bacterial small subunit ribosomal RNA
Source: RNAcentral